Molecule: RNA transcript, 597 nt
Organism: Astyanax mexicanus (Mexican tetra)
Lineage: Eukaryota; Metazoa; Chordata; Actinopteri; Characiformes; Acestrorhamphidae
Exons: 6
Source: RefSeq, a predicted model, not a curated record
UUACCACUUAUUGCCCCAAACACACUAUGCUUUCUCAUCAUUAUUAACUUCACACACACUCAGCCUGACCACCAGCCUCCGCACUUCAACUUAAGCAAGAGUUACACACCUUGAACAAUGGGGGAAGUGACACCUGAUCACUCUGAUGCCGACUUCACCUACAAUUAUGAGGUGAUUAGAAAAGGAGGGCUGAUCUUCGCUGCUGUUCUGUUCUGUUUUGGCAUUGCCAUUAUUAUGGGCAAAAGGCUGACCUGUGGGAGCAAACAAAAAGCAAAACCUGUGGACUUGGAUGAGCUUUAAAUUUUGGUGUGGUUACUGACUCACUUAUGUAAAGCAGGUUUCCCAACGUGUACCCUAACCCUACCACCUAUGAAGAUCAAUCCUCUAUCACCUGAAAACAUAAAAUCAAAUAAAAAACAGUGAUCAGUCUCUGUAGUAUAAUGGUCUGUUUAGUAAAGUAGUAUAGUGUAAAACUGAAAAUAUCCUCAUUUAUUUCGCAUCUAGUUGUAUUUUUUUCUAAUUGUUCAUUGUCAGCUGACACAUGCAUUUAACAUACGAAUUGCUCUUAAAAAACUGAAUAAAAUCAAAUGAAAAAUG